Long non-coding RNA from Gallus gallus (chicken), 1267 nucleotides. The record is from Ensembl. NCBI's taxonomy places the organism in Eukaryota, Metazoa, Chordata, Aves, Galliformes, Phasianidae.
AAAAAAAUGAAUUAAAAAUAUAUAUAUAUGAUGUAUCUCUCUGGAUCUGGAAGAUAAGCCCCAAUUUCAGGUUCCCUGAAGGUGCCCGCCCACAAAUGGGACACUCCUGCCUUAUCUGCAUGGGUACAUCUGCUCUGUUCUGAAGCUCCAGCCCCGAUAAGCACCCUAAUGGGCUGCGGAGGGUCCUGCACUGAGCUGGGAGCAGUGAGGAACAUGUCACACUGGGAGGGUCAUUUAUUUCUUGCUGUUUCAUAGCUGUGGCAGGGUGCAGAGGCUCCAUAGCGGAGGUCAGCAGGAAGAACUCAGGCCUUAUGGGUCUGAAUCACCCAGACUGUGUGAUGCAACGUGCGUGUAGAUUGCAGCUGUGCAUUCUGCAGUGACCCACUGGCAUGUGGAUGAACGUGCCCUGUGCAAACGUGCAGCCAGCUUGGGCUUUUAGCAGCAUGGGAAGCUUCACCGUCUGCUCCAUCCCUGCUGAUGGAAUCUGGGGCCAAAAGCCAUUGCGUGAGGCUGAGUUGUCUCAAAAGGAAAAGGUCUGUACGUACAGCGAGUUGAGUUCACGUUGUUGUUGACGGAUGGCUCCUAUGUGCCAUGCUGGUGUGGAAACAAUGUCACAGAGUGGGAAUCAUUCCAAUGCUUCUGCACAACCGGGAAAAAAUCCCUGUGCAUCAUCAUGCUGGCAUCUCUUCUGCACCACCCGUGCGUGCAGAGCUGCUGCAGAGAGGAUUCCUCACAGCAAAGCUGCUUGAGAUUAAACUAUAACCUGGAAAAAUUCACUCUGAUUCAUCCCAUUUACUAUCAGGCAGCAAGAGUGAGGGCUGUAGGGGAAAGGGCUCAUUAUGGUCAAUGACAACGCAACGUUUCCACCCUGACGAACCCAUCGGGAACAGAGUACUUGUUGCUUACAGAGCAUGAAACCUCCAUGAACCACGUGCAGCAGUGCUAGGAAGUGCUCCUGCCGAGCCCUAACUUGGCCCUUUCCCUGCACGAGGCUGCAUUCAAAGAAGGAAGUUCAGGAGCCCAGCCUUGAUUUACAGCCGCGCCUUGCCCUGCAGACGGGGUGAUGCUGAGGGCACCCACGUGAGAUGCGAUCUGCGCUGGAAAGCAAGAGGGAUGGAGAAGCAGCAAUGCAGGGGUGCCUGUUCCAGCUGCGCCCGUGGCCUUGCCUGUUUUAGGGCACACCGGGGGCCGUGCAGGACUGUGCAGCGCACUCAUACCAAGGGCUGCUUUACUCUCAGCAGCCCCAGAAGCUUCAAAAAUAAAACAG